GGGAAUUAAAAGCAUACUCAUCAACAGUAUAAUCAAUUUGAGUAAUGUUCACCUCCACUUCGUUGAAGGUUGUCAAAGUCUCCUUAUCUGGUUCUUCCAUCUUCUUGUUUUGAAUAGGAGACCUCAACCAAUCAAAAGUAGUGGUGGAAGACAAAGAGGGUUUGCCUGGCUCAAAAUUGCUGCUUAUACAUGCCUGGUC
This 199-nucleotide long non-coding RNA is filed under the name Vigna radiata. RNAcentral's name for it is "long non-coding RNA (VRAD_LNC008622)". Lineage: Eukaryota; Viridiplantae; Streptophyta; Magnoliopsida; Fabales; Fabaceae. The record is from RNAcentral.